Molecule: non-coding RNA, 79 nt
Organism: Termitomyces sp. T32_za158
Lineage: Eukaryota; Fungi; Basidiomycota; Agaricomycetes; Agaricales; Lyophyllaceae
Source: the annotation of a GenBank genome assembly
GGCCGUGUGGCGAAAUGGCAUCGCGUCUGACUACGAUAAGGUAAUCAGGAGAUUGCAGGUUCGACCCCUGUCUCGGUCA